AAGAUGGUUCAAGGAGGAUUAGGAGGAGGAAUUCUCGUUGAGAAUUAUAGGGACGAGAAGGACCUGCCAUAGACGAACAUUCAUUCGGAUGGGAUAUGAGGACGACCGGUUGAUUAAAAAUUAGAUAUUGGGUUCACAUGUAGGGGGAUAUCCCUAUGGACCCCAAGAAGUAGUGGUAAGUAGGUAAGGAGGUAAGUUUCUUGCUAUUGUUCUUAAGUGUGAAAUAAAAAUGCUAUUUGGAUUAUUAUCUUCAUAGGUCAAUUUUGGAAACACAUAAGGGUAAGUAUGAAAUAAUAGUUUUUAA
This 304-nucleotide long non-coding RNA is filed under the name Carica papaya (papaya). Its description in RNAcentral is "long non-coding RNA (CPAP_LNC000247)". The record is from RNAcentral. Lineage: Eukaryota; Viridiplantae; Streptophyta; Magnoliopsida; Brassicales; Caricaceae.